RNAcentral lists this ribosomal RNA (468 nucleotides) under uncultured bacterium. Its description in RNAcentral is "partial 16S ribosomal RNA". It matches the Rfam family "Bacterial small subunit ribosomal RNA", at positions 28 to 507 of the family's 1533-position model. The record is from RNAcentral.
GACGAACGCUGGCGGCGUGCUUAACACAUGCAAGUCGAACGGAAAGGCCCUGCUUUUGUGGGGUGCUCGAGUGGCGAACGGGUGAGUAACACGUGAGUAACCUGCCCUUGACUUUGGGAUAACUUCAGGAAACUGGGGCUAAUACCGGAUAGGAGCUCCUGCUGCAUGGUGGGGGUUGGAAAGUUUCGGCGGUUGGGGAUGGACUCGCGGCUUAUCAGCUUGUUGGUGGGGUAGUGGCUUACCAAGGCUUUGACGGGUAGCCGGCCGGCGAGGGUGACCGGCCCCAUUGGGCCUGAGAUACGGCCCAGACGCCUACGGUAGGCAACAGUCGGGAGUAUUGCACAAUGGGCGGGAGCCUGAUGCAGCAACGCCGCGUGCGGGAUGACGGCCUUCGGGUUGUAAACCGCUUCCGCCUGUGACGAGGCGUGAGUGACGGUAAUGGGUAAAGAAGCACCGGCUAACUACGUG